Molecule: long non-coding RNA, 1429 nt
Organism: Rhinichthys klamathensis goyatoka
Lineage: Eukaryota; Metazoa; Chordata; Actinopteri; Cypriniformes; Leuciscidae
Exons: 2
Source: RefSeq, a predicted model, not a curated record
UUGAAGCAGGAUUGAAAAACACUGGAUUACACCAACAAAGAGUAUCAUCUCACUACACCUGUUACAUUUGAUUUAUUUCAAUAAGAACACAAAGAGGAAGAGAUGCAUGCUGGGACAGACAUGUCAUGGUAAAUCAAGGAGACAGUGAGGAGACGUGACACAAGGAAACACCGACCACCAGAGCACCAGAUCUUUAUUAUACACAACACCUUUUAUUACCUCACUUCCAAUUCUCAUUGUGCAUUUUGCUCCAAGUCCAUUUUAAAUCGCUACACAGGCACUUGACAAUUUGUUAUUCCAAAAGCAUAAAAAAAAGUCGUUAAAUAUGUCCUCAGUCCCUCACUCCAUACAAAAGGACAGAAUUAUUAGAGGGAGAGACGGGGAUUGGGUCACCAUAACCUUAAAGACCACAGGAAAGUUACGGCUGCAGUGAUUUGGGCUCCAUCCAGUUCUUAACAGAUGCUGAAGUCAUUUGAAUUUGGAAAAGAUAAAGCUGCAUACAAUUUAAAAAGCCUUGAAUUGACUGGGUUGUGAAGAAAGACAUUUGGUAUUUAAAUCCACAGCUAAUUUUUAAGUUUCACCUCAUGUCCGACUCAAAGCCUUCGAUUAUUUACAGACAUAUUGUGCUGAAAUCAAACUCUCUUGCACCAAAUCCCCAUUCUUAUCCUCAAGUUAAUCAAGAAAACAGAAUUUGUCGUGGCCCAUUUCCCUGCGCGCACAUCAAUAAAAGCAAACAUCAAAGAUUCUGCAAUCAUAUCCGGAUCAAUAGGAAACCAGCUGGACCGCUUUCACUCUGAAUUAUGUUCAACUGUUAUUACCGCAACCGACAGGGCACAAAUCUGUCGAUAGCAAAGAAUAUCUGUCGUUCUACACAGAUGCAAACAGUUUGUGAAAAAUGCCGAUUAACACGAAGACGACAAACGCCCAGGUUAUAAAUAAUACACUCAGAAAUACGCGUGUUAGUACAUCUACUAUGAUGUCUACAUGAAAGCCUUUGUUUCACCGUCUUGGUGUCAGAAAGUUCUCUGUGUGUGUGUCAAGUUUGAACGGAGUGGUUCCAUAUAGCAAACGCCCCACGACCCCAAAUACACCUGCAUGUACCAUGUUCAGAGACCCCUUGUUUGAGUGCACUCCCACUUUCCUGCAGCGCCCUGAUGUUUUUCCCGCUCAUAAAUCCCACUCCCCUGACCCUCAUUAUUCCAAGCGAAAUAAAAGCGCCCCAUAAAGCCUUGCAGAUUCAUGUUGCAAUGACCAAAACGCUAAGCUACCAGAUUUGGAGUCGGGUGUUACCUGAGACACUAUCUUACAGAGCGCUGACGGGUCGGACCGUCGCCAAGUGGUCACCGUGCUUUCCAGGAUUAUAUUCAUAUACACAAAUUAUUAUUUGUAUAAACAGAUCAUUACAGAAAUUUGCAUACAAAUUGCGCCU